GACGAACGCUGGCGGUAUGCUUAACACAUGCAAGUCGAACGAGAAGUCUUUUAUUGAACCUUCGGGGGAUAUAAGAGACAGACAGUGGCGAACGGGUGAGUAACGCGUGGGCAACCUACCUAUCGGAGCGGGAUAGCCUCGAGAAAUCGGGAGUAAAACCGCAUAACACGGAUAUAUCGCAUGAUGAAUCCGUCAAAACUCCGGUGCCGAUAGAUGGGCCCGCGUCUGAUUAGCUAGUUGGUAAGGUAAGGGCUUACCAAGGCAACGAUCAGUAGCCGGUCUGAGAGGGCGAACGGCCACACUGGAACUGAGACACGGUCCAGACUCCUACGGGAGGCAGCAGUGGGGAAUAUUGCGCAAUGGGGGCAACCCUGACGCAGCAAUACCGCGUGAGUGAAGAAGGUUUUCGGAUCGUAAAGCUCUGUUAUUGGGGAAGAAGCAGUGACGGUACCCAAUGAGGAAGUCCCGGCUAACUACGUGCCAGCAGCCGCGGUAAUACGUAGGGGACGAGCGUUGUCCGGAAUCACUGGGCGUAAAGGGCGCGUAGGCGGUUUUAUAAGUCAGAUGUGAAAGGUACCGGCUCAACCGGUGACGUGCAUUUGAAACUGUAAGACUUGAGUACUGAAGAGGCAAGCGGAAUUCCUAGUGUAGCGGUGAAAUGCGUAGAUAUUAGGAAGAACACCGGUGGCGAAGGCGGCUUGCUGGGCAGAUACUGACGCUGAGGUGCGAAAGCGUGGGGAGCGAACAG
This 748-nucleotide ribosomal RNA is filed under the name uncultured Pseudoramibacter sp. RNAcentral's name for it is "bacterial SSU rRNA". It matches the Rfam family "Bacterial small subunit ribosomal RNA", at positions 28 to 775 of the family's 1533-position model. Lineage: Bacteria; Bacillati; Bacillota; Clostridia; Eubacteriales; Eubacteriaceae. The record is from RNAcentral.